AUAAGGAGACUUGGAUUGCUUUUAUUUGUUUCCAUCAAACACCUCUCUCUCUCGGUUAUCUCUCUCCUUCUGAAAUUUUUUUCUUUGGUUAUUUUUUUUUAUUAUAUAAAAUCCUUGAUUCAUCAAACCUGUUAGGUUUUAGACCCUAGUUCCAUAGAUCAAAUUGUAGAGGGUUCUGAGGGCUCCGAUUUAAUCUGAACGAAUCGAAAUUUUGUCGCCGGAAAUUUUUAUUUUCUUGGAAGCUCUUGGAUCUAGGUACAGGUGCUAUGCCUCCGCCAGGGCAUUGACUUAGGAGGACUCGGAGCUGAGGCUUCAUUUUUGUUUUAUCGUUAUUUGUUGAAUGUAAGCGCAAGGCUGUAUUUGCGUUAAGUUGAAACUUCAUUUUGUGUAACCAAGAAUGUUCUUGGAUAAAUUUGUAAACCUGUAGGGCACUUAUUAUCUAUUUGGCUUUCAUUUCAUACUUGUUGCAAAAUGUAUGCUUGGGUUUGGAACUGGGGCAUUGGGAUGUGAAUAGCAUGUAUUUGGCAUUUGGGAUUUAAUGGAAAUGGAUGUAUGGAAUAGUUAGCUAUAUA
Long non-coding RNA from Camellia sinensis, 572 nucleotides. RefSeq lists it as uncharacterized. The record is from RefSeq and is a predicted model, not a curated record. NCBI's taxonomy places the organism in Eukaryota, Viridiplantae, Streptophyta, Magnoliopsida, Ericales, Theaceae.